Long non-coding RNA from Misgurnus anguillicaudatus (oriental weatherfish), 3812 nucleotides. RefSeq lists it as uncharacterized. The record is from RefSeq and is a predicted model, not a curated record. Lineage: Eukaryota; Metazoa; Chordata; Actinopteri; Cypriniformes; Cobitidae.
UUCCAUCUUAGAAAUAUCUCAAAAAUACGCCAUAUGCUGUCUGCAUCAGACGCAGAAAAGCUUAUCCAUGCUUUUAUGACCUCUAGAAUAGACUAUUGUAACUCGUUACUCGGGGGAUGCCAUGCAAAUCAGGUAAACAAGCUACAGCUGGUUCAAAACGCCGCCGCAAGAGUGCUUACUCGAUCUAAAAAGUGUGUCCAAUUCUGGCAUCUUUACACUGGCUACCAGUUAAAUAUCGCAUAGAAUUUAAAAUAUUACUAAUCACCUACAAAGCCUUAAAUGGCCUAGCGCCCUCGUAUAUUAAGGAACUACUAUCAGAAUACAAUCCAUCACGUAAACUGCGCUCACAAAAUUCUGGUCACUUAAUUAUCCCUAGAAUAUCAAAAGUGUCUAAAGGUGGUAGAUCCUUUUCCUACUUAGCCCCUAAGCUCUGGAAUGAUUUACCAAAUAAUCUUCGAGUAUCAGACACAGUCGAUCAAUUUAAAUCUAAACUUAAGACAUUCUUCUUUAACAAAGCAUACACAUAAAAUGUCCAGUAAAUGUACUUUUCCCGCAGUAGUUAGUUUGUCUAGAACAAAGCACUCACAUACCUCAUAUGGGUAAUAUACUAUUGCCGCAAUAGUUAGCCUGUCUGGAACCGAGCUGACUUGAACCACUAUAAUGUUUGACACUUGCAUUACUGUUUUUUUCUCCCUGUCUCGUCCUCGACCACGAGGACAAUGAGACAAACAGACCCAGUUCCUGUUGCUGUGAAGAUCAUCGCACCACUGAUCCACUGGCUGUCCUUCAACGUGAUGACCAGCCGAUGCCCGACCAACGACCACCGGCUAAACCAGUUUAAUUCGCUUCCCCCCCUUCUAUCCCUACAGUAUCUAUAUAUAUAUAUAUAUAAAUAUAUAUUAAUUCCUCCCAAGGGUUUUUGUCCUUCUAGGAGUUUUUCCCAUUGGGUUUUUUCCUAGGGGUUUUUUUUCGUCCCAGGGAGAGUCAGCCAACUUUGGCUUAACUUAGCACUUUACUGUAUACGUUACAUUAUUAAUAUGCUCGCUUGUACGGUUUAACCGCUAUCUCUUCUUCUCAUAUUAUCUAUUGAUUUUCUGUGUUCUCCUCUACAUCUUCUCAUGUAAAGCUGCUUUGCAACAAUUAACACUUGUGAAAAGCGCUAUAUACAUAAAAUUGAAUUGAAUUGAAUUGAACAGAUGCGGAGACAUCAGUCAAUGUCCCGCCCCCAAAGUCGCAAAAGUAAUCUUUAGCGAGCGACGCGUGUGGUGCAGCUGUGAGAGCAUAGGGAGAGUCGAGUGCCAAUUGGGCAUCAUUUAAAUGCCAUGGCCUACCUGAGCAUCGUUUCUGACCAUGUCCAUCCCUUUAUGACCACCAUGCACUCAUCCUCUGAUGGCUACUUCCAGCAGAAUAAUGCACAAUGUCACAAAGCUCGAAUAAUUUCAGAUUGGUUUCUUGAACAUGACAAUGAGUUCACUGUACUAAAAUGGCCCCCACACUCACCAGAUCUCAACACAGUAGAGCAUCUUUGGGAUGUGGUGGAACGGGACCUUCAUGUCCUGGAUGUGAAUCCCACAAAUCUCCAUCAACUGCAAGAUGGUAUCCUAUCAAUAUGGGCCAACAUUUCUAAAGAAUGCUUUCAGCACCUUGUUCAAUCAAUGCCACGUAGUAUUAAGGCAGUUCUGAAGGCAAAAGAAGGUCAAACACAGUAUUAGUAUGGUGUUCCUAAUCCUUAAGGUGGGUGUAUUUACUGCGAUGUUUGAAGUUAAAGCCCGAUAAGCAUUGAAUUUACCAUGCGUUUACCACAGUAACUGUAGAUUUAGUGUGUUAUUUGUAGUUAAAGCCUAGUAAACACAACCUGUAUCGUCCUGCUACUAUAGUAAAGUUAUUUCUGUUGUGGUACAUGUGCUUAAUGCAUAGUACCAAACCCUUUUUUUAGUAAACACAACCCUUCCAAUGCCUUACAAUGGUAAGUCUACUGUGGUAUAUGGUACAGUAAGCAUUGCAUAUAUGCAUUUAGCACAGUAACUGUACUAAUUUGCUGUAUUCAGUUAAAGCACAGUAACACAAACCCUUGCCUUGGUUUAAACCAACACAGUCUCAUGGGAAGUCGUGUUAUAGUAACGAAAAAUUUUGAUUAAUUUAUUCGUGUUUGAUGACACGAAUUUCCGCUGUUUUUCGUGUCUCUGGAGACUAAUGUCUUUUUCGUCCUUCCCAGCACGAAUUUCUAUCAAUGGCUGUUCGUGUCUGUGGCACGACUUUCUUUAUCGUGUCAUUUUAUAUUUUGUUUUCUCAUCGUUGUUUUCUAUUUUUUGACCAUUGUCGCUUGGGGUUUGGGUUAGAAUCACUUUCUGCGACUUCCUAACCCAAACCCCAGCUCUAAUCCCAACUCCAGGCGAGAAUAGUUUUAAAAGUGGACGAAAAACAUGUAGAAACCAAUGCAAAAAAUAACAUCCUAACGCAAACCCCGGAUCUAACCCUAACCCCAAGCGACAAUGAUUUAAAAAUAGGAAACAACGAUGAGAAAACAAAAUAUAAAAUGACACGAUAAAGAAAGUCGUGCCACAGACACGAACAGCCAUUGAUAGAAAUUCGUGCUGGGAAGGACGAAAAAGACAUUUGUGUCUGUGACACGAAAAACAGCGGAAAUUUGUGUCAUCAAACACGAAUAAAUUAAUCAAAAUUUUCGUUACUAUAACACGACUUGCCGUGAGACUGGGUUGUUUAAACACAGUCACUGUAGUUUAGCCUUUUAAUUUGUAAUAAAAGCAGGGCUAAAACAACACUUACCUAUCUUUUAAUACCUUUCAUGUCCAAUCAUUGUUUUUGUCUUGCAGUUACUCCAUAUCAGUCAUUUGAUGGACAGUGGGCAACCAAAUAAAAAUGAUGGCAAUUUCUGCAAAAUUAUUAAUUCUGUAGACUUGCUUCUCCACAAGUUGAAAAUACUUGGUGUCUUACCAAUGCUAUUUAGAAUGUUGCAGAGAGGCCUGCACCACUCUACCAAAAUUUAAGAGGUCCCACCACUACAAUCAGCCACCCUGUCACUACAGUCAGCGUUCCCGCCACUGUGACCAGAGACUCCACCACUACCAUCAGAGGCUCUGCGACUACUGUCAGCAACCCCGCGCCACUGCGGCCAGAGACCGUGGCUGUGUGGCAAGAAGUUCCUGGGUGUCUGAGGAUGCUGUGCAGUAGUAUGUGUCUGUUUAAAUACAUGCCAUUAUACAUGUCAAUACAGUAUUUGUCAUCAUAGAAAGUUAUUCUAUAAAUUUUGUUUAACACUUUAGUUUGUCUUAUUCUUGAAGGUCUGUUGUUGUCAAAAUGUAUUGAUAUUUAGAUAUAAAAAUCAGGAAACACAUCUACACAUGUUGUUGUUACACUAAUGUGUGGUGAAUACUAUGUAUAUACAAAAUUUUAUAAAUAAGUUCUUUUGAUUUUUUUUCUUCAUAAUUGUAUUGGAUAAAAAGGAAAUACAAAUUUUCUUCUCAUAGAAAUGAAUAUUUAUACUAUAUACUACCUACAUGAACUCUGAACCUUGUUGUUAUAUUGAGUGGCCUGGUGAACAAUUAAGUUUUACAUGUCUACUGAAUGUUUACAUGGUUGUCUUUAUUUACCGUCAUCCCUGUACUCUUGAUUUUGUUCCACAGAUCAUGCUAAUAAAAUAAAUGAUGAAACCUAUUUUAAAUGGGCAUUGCUGUUGUUGUUUUUAUGGGGGGUGGGGUUUGUCUUCUUAAGACACUUGGUAUUAAGUUAUUUGCUGGUUUGACAGCACAGACACUGUCAUGUAAUAGUAAAGCUGGAACUGAGGUGAUAAU